GGGGAAAUAUCUCAGUGGUAGAGCGCUCGCUUCGCAUGUGAGAGGCCUCGGGUUCAAUCCCCGAUAUCUCCA
RNAcentral lists this transfer RNA (72 nucleotides) under Strongylocentrotus purpuratus (purple sea urchin). RNAcentral's name for it is "tRNA-Ala (CGC) (tRNA-Ala-CGC-3-1)". It matches the Rfam family "tRNA". From Rfam's summary of the family: Transfer RNA (tRNA) molecules are approximately 80 nucleotides in length. Their secondary structure includes four short double-helical elements and three loops (D, anti-codon, and T loops). Further hydrogen bonds mediate the characteristic L-shaped molecular structure. tRNAs have two regions of fundamental functional importance: the anti-codon, which is responsible for specific mRNA codon recognition, and the 3' end, to which the tRNAs corresponding amino acid is attached (by aminoacyl-tRNA synthetases). tRNAs cope with the degeneracy of the genetic code in two manners: having more than one tRNA (with a specific anti-codon) for a particular amino acid; and 'wobble' base-pairing, i.e. permitting non-standard base-pairing at the 3rd anti-codon position. Lineage: Eukaryota; Metazoa; Echinodermata; Echinoidea; Camarodonta; Strongylocentrotidae. The record is from RNAcentral.